This is a non-coding RNA of Ciona intestinalis (vase tunicate), 210 nucleotides long. The record is from RefSeq and is a predicted model, not a curated record. NCBI's taxonomy places the organism in Eukaryota, Metazoa, Chordata, Ascidiacea, Phlebobranchia, Cionidae.
CCAACAAUAAACUGCAAAUUAGAGAUCUCACUCGCAUGUCAAUAUUCUCAGCCUUAUGUGCCGUAGAAAAUUCGGAUCAUCUCUCAAUUCUGUUCCUGUAGCGUCUUUAGAACAUCUUUUGUCGAUGCCAUCUUCAGUUCCUGUAUAACUAAAGCAUUGUACGCCUUGUACGGAAAUACGUUUGUUGUAACGUAUUUCUUUUAGAUCCUC